CAAUAGCGUAUAUUAAAGUUGUUGCAGUUAAAAAGCUCGUAGUUGAAUUUUUGCUUGCCGCCGAUGUCGGAACUUCCGUACGUUCGGCGGCGUGCAUCCUUGGGUGGAACCUGUGUGGCAUUAGGUUGUCGUGCAGGGGAUGCUCAUCGUUUACUGUGAAAAAAUUAGAGUGUUCAAAGCAGGCUUACGCCGUUGAAUAUAUUAGCAUGGAAUAAUAAGAUAGGACCUUGGUACUAUUUUGUUGGUUUGCGCACCGAGGUAAUGAUUAACAGGGACAGUUGGGGGUAUUCGUAUUCCAUUGUCAGAGGUGAAAUUCUUGGAUUUACGGAAGACGAACUACUGCGAAAGCAUUUACCAAGGAUGUUUUCAUUAA
RNAcentral lists this ribosomal RNA (373 nucleotides) under uncultured eukaryote. Its description in RNAcentral is "partial 18S ribosomal RNA". It matches the Rfam family "Eukaryotic small subunit ribosomal RNA", at positions 592 to 976 of the family's 1831-position model. The record is from RNAcentral.